GUGCCAGCAGCCGCGGUAAUACGGAGGAUGCAAGCGUUAUCCGGAAUGAUUGGGCGUAAAGCGUCCGCAGGUGGCGAUGUAAGUCUGCUGUUAAAGAGUGAGGCUCAACCUCAUAAGAGCAGUGGAAACUACAUAGCUAGAGUACGUUCGGGGCAGAGGGAAUUCCUGGUGUAGCGGUGAAAUGCGUAGAGAUCRGGAAGAACACCAGUGGCGAAGGCGCUCUGCUAGGCCGUAACUGACACUGAGGGACGAAAGCUAGGGGAGCGAAUGGGAUUAGAUACCCCAGUAGUCCUAGCCGUAAACGAUGGAUACUAGGCGUGGCUUGUAUCGACCCGAGCCGUGCCGUAGCUAACGCGUUAAGUAUCCCGCCUGGGGAGUACGCCGGCAACGGUGAAACUCAAAGGAAUUGACGGGGGCCCGCACAAGCGGUGGAGUAUGUGGUUUAAUUCGAUGCAACGCGAAGAACCUUACCAAGGCUUGACAUGUCGCGAAUCUUCUUGAAAGGGAAGAGUGCCUUCGGGAGCGCGAACACAGGUGGUGCAUGGCUGUCGUCAGCUCGUGUCGUGAGAUGUUGGGUUAAGUCCCGCAACGAGCGCAACCCUCGUUUUUAGUUGCCAGCAUUAAGUUGGGCACUCUAGAGAGACUGCCGGUGACAAACCGGAGGAAGGUGGGGAUGACGUCAAGUCAGCAUGCCCCUUACGCCUUGGGCUACACACGUACUACAAUGCUCCGGACAGAGGGCAGCAAGCAUGCGAAUGCAAGCAAAUCCCGUAAACCGGAGCUCAGUUCAGAUCGCAGGCUGCAACUCGCCUGCGUGAAGGAGGAAUCGCUAGUAAUUGCAGGUCAGCAUACUGCAGUGAAUUCGUUCCCGGGCCUUGUACACACCGCCCGUCACACCAUGGAAGCUGGUAGUGCCCGAAGUCAUUACUCCAACCUUUCGGGGGGGAGGAUGCCUAAGGCAGGACUGGUGACUGGGGUGAAGUCGUAACAAGGUAACC
Molecule: ribosomal RNA, 998 nt
Filed under: uncultured bacterium
Lineage: Bacteria
Description: bacterial SSU rRNA
Rfam family: Bacterial small subunit ribosomal RNA
Source: RNAcentral